RNAcentral lists this long non-coding RNA (1996 nucleotides) under Mus musculus (house mouse). RNAcentral describes it as "long non-coding RNA chr14:28418311-28420307". Lineage: Eukaryota; Metazoa; Chordata; Mammalia; Rodentia; Muridae. The record is from RNAcentral.
ACAGCUAUAAGUGGGGAUGGAGAUCAGAGCAUCUUUUCCCAUUACUGAUGCUGGUUAAAGUUGACUCCGUGAAUUCAGAGCUGGAGCACGUCAAAAGUAUGAGGAACACAAAGCAAUUAUCAGGUUCAUGCAAGGGGAAAGGCCAGCGUGGAGAAAGGGCAGAGAAGAAAGGAAAGCACCAAGGUCUGGAAGUUUCCUUGAACUUCCUAAUCACCUUCAAGGCCUGGUGGCUUAUCUGACCAUAGACCAUCUGUUCUGCCCUGGAGUUAGAGCAUGGUAUUGGCAGAGCCCUUUGAAACCUUUGAACGCAGGGCCCCAUAAUGGCUGCCCCUGCCCCUCUCAGCAUCAGCAGCCCUGUGCCACCUUCUGCACUCACCUUCUGGUCCCAGACCAUUUGGAAACCAUCUGGAACUCAUUAUGAAAAUCAAGCUUGGUUUCGGCAUGAGCAAGUAAGGAAAGCUGUAACUGCAAGAUAAGAAAAGACUGGGACUUUGCUUCUGACCACACUCUCAACUGGGUUCCUUCGUGGGGUCUGUCCCAGCCUUCAUCUACUGCCCUUCCUCCCCGCUGCCACAUGGGAACAGAGUACCUGGAGGAAAUCCCUCUGGCAGGAGUAAAUUAAAUAGGGGAGGGGGCGGAUGAGGGGGUGGAGAUGGGCAUUAGUCCUCGGGAGGAAAAAGAUGGUUCUCUGCAUGCAAGAGAUGGAGCCACCAUGAGAAGCAUCCCCCAGGAGGCUUGCUGAUUGUCUGUCUCUUUCUGUCCCCCCAAACUAAGGCCACUAGAGAAUGAUAAUCAAGCCCAAUUCAUUACAUGUCGUGUCAAUUUUUUUGAAAAAGAUGAAUAGUGAAAUGUUUUUAAAUUCUUUGCCUAAUUGAAAUCAAUGUUUAUAUGAUUUGCCAAAGUUUUAAAAAAUGUGUGUGACGGGCUGAAAAUGUUAGCUCAAGGAGAGGUUCAGGCGCAGCAGAUGCAAAAACAUCGAAAAUCAUUCAUCUAAUUUAAUUGUCAAGUUGUGCCAAAAAUGCUAACGUGAUAUCUUUGAAGAGUAAUUGGUACAAAGAAUAUCCUCAAAGAGAAGUAUUUCCACACCCAUCUGGCUCGUAUCUCCCCCCCCCCCUUGUUGGCAGAGCCCCGUGCGCUCCAUCCCUUCCCCUCUGCACAGGCACCCAGCUCCCUCUGCAGCCUUUUCAGCCACCAAUGAUCAUCCUAUGGAAAGGAACUCGAAUUCUUUCUUUAGAUGUAGUCCAAGAUAUUCGUGGAAGAAUUCUUAAUCCUCUGUUUCUACCAAAUAUGGCCUUUGCAAGUGUCUGCUUGACCUGGUAAGCCGGGGAAUUGUGGCUUGCUCCACUCGGAGACAAGAGCACCUGCUCUCACAAAAGGAGAAUGAAUAUGAAGUUUGUGUGAGAUUUCCUGGAAGUGAGUCCAGAGGCUACUGUUAGCUUCUCCCCUCAGACAUUCCCUGGAGAGAGAACUAAAUGGUGAGGAAAACGGAACCUCCCACUCCAUGUUUACCCAUCUAAAAGGAUGAAAAGUAGUGUUCCCUUCAUGAGCAGCACCCACAGUGCCCCUGGGUCAGUACAGUAGUGCUCUCUCUGCCUCCUGGACCACAGGUGAUGGACGGCUUACCCUCAUCUUCCUGCAUCUGCAGCCUUCUCUAGUGGCAAAUCUCACUCUAGCCACAUUCCAGAGCCCCCAUUCUCAGCUCCCCUCUCCUGUUCUCAUAUCACUUUACAGGUAUGAGCACACAUGCAUGCACACACACCAGAGAGACUACAUAUUUACCUUGUUCACUGUCGGUCAACCCUCAUGGACAAAGAUCUCGUUUGCUAGGUACCUGGCACACAGCAGAUACUUGGUAACAGUUUGUCAAGAGGAUGAAUGGAGAUUCUGGGAUUCAUAAAAUUACCAACACAGCAACAUUCCUGUUAAGAGCAGUAGUCAGGAAAGGGGAUAUCUGCCAGCCACAGCCUGGUUAUCCAUUAUGGGUCUUUUCUAUUUC